This is a long non-coding RNA of Gorilla gorilla gorilla (western lowland gorilla), 2778 nucleotides long. RefSeq lists it as uncharacterized. The transcript has 4 exons. The record is from RefSeq and is a predicted model, not a curated record. NCBI's taxonomy places the organism in Eukaryota, Metazoa, Chordata, Mammalia, Primates, Hominidae.
GGGGACGCCUCAGAAUCAUGGCGGGAGGCAAAAGGCACUUGUUACACGGCAGCAGCAAGAGAAAAUGAGAGGGAAGCAAAAGCGGAAACCCCUGAUAAACCCAUCAGAUCUGGCUGCUGGAGUGCAGUGGCAUGACCUUGGCUCACUGCAACCUCCACCUCUGGGUUCAAGUGAUUCUUCUGCAUCAGCCUGCUGAUAGCUGGGACUACAGUGCUCACAACAUACACAGUUGAUGAUGUUUCUGGGAGCCUCCAGUUAAUUCCACACAAGGCUUCACAAAACAGUUGAACCAACAGCGACAACAAAAAGCCUCCCUGCGUAUAAUGAAGUGGCCUUAGAAAUUAUAAAGCCGAUUAGAAAUGCUGAUACAAGAAAUGUAGGGAGACGUUCUUAUGUUCAUCAAGUGCCAUUACUGGCAAUGACCUUAAGUGAGGUCGUACUUGUAUGCAGGCAGCCUUGGGAACAGGCUGAGACCACUGCUGUGUGCAAUCUGUUGAUCUAAGUGAUAUUAACUGCACACCCAAUGUACUGGUUUCUCUCAUCGAAAGAGGUACUAAAGUAACUGAACAGUGGGUAAGCCAAGGGUCAAGGGGAAUAACUAUCUACCCUCACUUGCUUCAAGCAAGCACACUUGGACUGUGUCUUGGGUUCAAGAAUGAGAUAUUUUUUCCUUGGGGGAGGUGGGGUAAGAAGUAUUGAAGCAGUAGAGAAUUGACCUCACCAUUUUGUUUUUCUUUUUUUCUAUUAUACUCUUGAUAGGCAUUUGUUUCCAGAGCUUGGGUGUAAUGAGUACUUAAUUCAGUCACACCACAUGUAGUCCCCAGGGAGUUUUAGGAUAAAUGGCUAUUCCUUUUGCUAUCUGAGGUGCCAUUCUAAACCAGGGCGGGAAAUCAGGUUUGGACAACAGUGAAGAGAAAGGCAUUGGUUGCCUUGUAUGAUGAUGGUGAAUCAGGUAUUGAUCUUUUAAAUAAAUCAGAGAUAGUUUAGAGGUAGCAAAUAAAGGUAAAAGAUAUUAGACUUGGCAGAUUUAUAUCAGGCUGGUUUUAAUUUGCUAUGUUUUGAUCUCAUAAGGGAAGUUGAGAUAUCCAGCAGCUAACAACUACUAUGUGCAAUGAGCACAUGCUUGAAUAAUAAUUGUUAUGUAUUGCUCACCUAUUAAGCGAAAGCAUUUUAACAAAUAAGCUCUCUAUAUAAUCACUUUAUAAGGUAGAUACUAUUCAUCCAAUAUACAAGAUGAGGAAACUGAAGCUCAGCAAGUGUAAGUAAUGUACUUAAGGUGUGACACAGAACUAAGUGCCAAAUCUAAGAUUCAAAUCUAAGUUGUCUGACUCUAAAACCAAUUCUCCUCUCACUACACUACUGGAUAUAUCAAGUAAUACGUGUUUUAACAAUGAUCUUUUGUAUAUUAAGCUUUUUUGUUCCCCUUGAAUUUAUAGUACCAUGAACCUAUUUGGCCCAUGGAAAGUUAGGCUUUGAAAUGACUUGGACUCAUCAAAUGUUGAGCUUUAAAUGAAAGCAUUCUAUGAAUGGUGGCUCCAGAUGACAUCUGACAUCCUAGUCCUCCUCAUACUGGCUUCCUCAUAUCAAAAAGCAAAUCAAUGGGUAUUAUCAUGAAUCUUAGCAAACUCAAUUUAUACGUUAGUGUUAAGUUCCAUUUAUGCUUCAAAAAUUCAAAUAAUAUCAAAAAAAUACAAGCCUAAAAUAUGGUAUAUAUGUAUUAUGUUCUUGCAAUUGAAAUAUUUUGAAUUAUGAUUGUUGUUAUUGUUGUAUUUAAGGGAUUUAAAAACUUCAUCUUUACAGAUAUAUUUUAAUAAAGUUUUUCUGCACUUGACCAAUAUUACAAAUUGUUUAUUAAUCUAUCAUAAAUAUAACAUUAAAAAUGGAGAUGUUUUAUGCAGUGAACUCUAUCACAUAAAGGCAAAUUGUAUAGGAAAAACAUCUACACAUAUUCCUAUAAAUUGAAAUAUUAAAUUAUCUAUUAUUUGACAAGAAACUGAGUUAAAUUUUUUUCAGUAAAAUGUCUUCUAUAUUCAAAUGUCAUUUUAAUUGACAUUUUGAAAAUAUAGUUUACAAAAAAGUUAUGUAAAUUUAUAUAAAACAGUUUCAACAAAAUAUGAUUAUACUAGUAUGCAUACAUUUGAGAUUAAAUUCAUUUAUAUUUAGAUUUUUAGUAUAUAUGAAGACUACUCUUUUAAAAUAAUUAAAUGCUGAAAUCAGUUAUGGAACAUAUCUCAAUUGUUCCAUGAAAAUAAUUUAGUUCUACAUUGAGAAAAGCAUAAAUAAAAUCAUCUAAAAUAAAAAGUUUAAAUCUUAACUAUUUACAACAUUACCAUUUUCAGAACCUGAUAAGCAAGACCUACAUAAUUAAUAUUUAGUUUUAAAAUAUUGCUACCAUAUUUAAAAAGUAAUUACACCAUUUGCCGAUAAAUCAUAUAAAAAUAUUCUAUAUUUUUUGUUGUCCAUACUUGUCUAUGGUUUGUUGUCCAUACUCCUACUGUCUAUGGAAGUUUACAUAAACAUUACAAUUAAAUAUGUAGUAUUAAGACUAUAUAUAAGUUCAUGGUGAUUUAUUUCUAAAAAUGUAUUUUAUCAUUGGAAUAUUCAUUCAAUGACAAUUACAAGUUACUAGAAUACAAGAUAAAUGGUCCUCAGGUCAUUAUACAUUGUAAAAUUAUAGGUAAUUGCCAAUAAUAAAAAGUAUUAUUUGUUCAAAUUAUAUGAGUUAGGUUGCCUAAGAGAUGUGUGAAUUUUUAUUAAAGAAAUCCCUGUUCUUAAGUG